Molecule: unclassified non-coding RNA, 290 nt
Filed under: Glomus sp.
Lineage: Eukaryota; Fungi; Glomeromycota; Glomeromycetes; Glomerales; Glomeraceae
Description: partial contains 5.8S ribosomal RNA and internal transcribed spacer 2
Rfam family: 5.8S ribosomal RNA (bases 1-71)
Source: RNAcentral
GUGAAUCAUCGAAUCUUUGAACGCAAAUUGCACUCUCUGGUAUUCCUGAGAGUAUGCCUGUUUGAGUGUCAGUUAAAUAAAAAUCGGCGCCUUGUUGCCGCUUUGCGUAUUGACGCAUCGUGUUUGGCUUGUCUUACCUUCGGUUAAGCGACCUAAAAUUUCGCAUGAUUUCUUCGAACGCAUUCAAAUGAUUUUACUCACGUUUGCGUUAUCUAAUACUAUGAGCGUUCAUCCUCAUGAUCCGCGCCUUCAAUUUCCCAUCAAAAUGACCUCAAAUCAGGUAAGAAUAU